This 425-nucleotide ribosomal RNA is filed under the name uncultured bacterium. RNAcentral describes it as "partial 16S ribosomal RNA". It matches the Rfam family "Bacterial small subunit ribosomal RNA", at positions 354 to 796 of the family's 1533-position model. The record is from RNAcentral.
GUGGGGAAUCUUGCGCAAUGGGCGAAAGCCUGACGCAGCCAUGCCGCGUGAAUGAUGAAGGUCUUAGGAUUGUAAAAUUCUUUCACCGGGGACGAUAAUGACGGUACCCGGAGAAGAAGCUCCGGCUAACUUCGUGCCAGCAGCCGCGGUAAUACGAAGGGGGCUAGAGUUGCUCGGAAUUACUGGGCGUAAAGGGCGCGUAGGCGGACAGCUUAGUCAGAGGUGAAAGCCCAGGGCUCAACCUUGGAAUUGCCUUUGAUACUGGCUGUCUUGAGUUUGGGAGAGGUGAGUGGAACUCCGAGUGUAGAGGUGAAAGUCGUAGAUAUUCGGAAGAACACCAGUGGCGAAGGCGACAUACUGGUCCAUUACUGACGCUGAGGCUCGAAAGCGUGGGGAGCAAACAGGAUUAGAUACCCGGGUAGUCC